AUUUGGCGCAGUGUUUAGUACGUCUGUCUGCGACGCAAAAGAUUCCGGGUUCAAUUCCCGGUGAAUA
This is a non-coding RNA of Phthorimaea operculella (potato tuberworm), 67 nucleotides long. The record is from the annotation of a GenBank genome assembly. NCBI's taxonomy places the organism in Eukaryota, Metazoa, Arthropoda, Insecta, Lepidoptera, Gelechiidae.